GACGAACGCUGGCGGCGUGCUUAAUACAUGCAAGUCGAACGGAAAGGUCCUGCUCUUGUGGGGUGCUCGAGUGGCGAACGGGUGAGUAACACGUGAGUAAACUGCCCUUGACUUUGGGAUAACUUUAGGAAACUGGGGCUAAUACAGGAUAGGAGCUCCUGCUGCAUGGUGGGGGUUGGAAAGUUUCGGCGGUUGGAGAUGGUCUCGCAGGUUAUCGGCUUGUUGGUGGAGUAGUGGCAUACCAAGUCUUUGAAGGGUAGCCGGCCUUGGAGGGUGACCGGCGACAUGGGUACUGAGGGACGGCCCAGACGCCUACCGGACGCAGCAGGGGGGAAUAUGACGCAAUAGGCGGGAGCCUGAUACAGCAACGCUGCGUGCGGGAUGACGGCCUACGAGUGAAAAACCGCUGUCGCCGUAAACGAAGAGUGAGUGACGGUAAUGGAUAAGGAAGCACCGGCUAACUACGUG
This 468-nucleotide ribosomal RNA is filed under the name uncultured bacterium. RNAcentral's name for it is "partial 16S ribosomal RNA". It matches the Rfam family "Bacterial small subunit ribosomal RNA", at positions 28 to 507 of the family's 1533-position model. The record is from RNAcentral.